CAAUAGCUAGUUGCAUCAUUUUAACGAUGAUGCAAGAUCGACUAUGUCGAAUAAAAUUCUAGGUAGAAUUAUGAUAAUGACAUUGUCUGCCUAUGUGUCUUGACCAAAUUACGUGCCAGCAGUCGCGGUAAUACGUAGAAGACUAGUGUUAUUCAUGUUUAAUCGGUUUAAAGGGUACCUAGACGGUGAAUCAAGCUUUAUAAGAAAUAUAGUUAAAGGACUAAUUUACUAGAGUUACUUACGAGGGGGCAUUAAAGUACUACUGGUGUAGAGAUGAAAUUCUGUCAUACCUCUUUUCAAAAGAAAAAAUGAAGGCACAGGUAUAGGCGAAGGCAUCUCCUUAUGUGAUAACUGACGUUGAGGGACGAAGGCUUUGUAUAGCGAACAGGAUUAGUUACCCCAGUAGUCGAAGCAGAAAAUGAUGAAUGUCAUAGAUUAGAUGUAAGUUUAUUCUAUAAAUGAAAGUGUAAGCAUUCCACCUCAUGAGUAAUUUGGCAACAUUGGAACUGAAAUCAUUAGACCGUUUCUGAAACCAGUAGUGAAGUAUGUUGUUUAAUUUGAUGAUCCGCAAAAAACCUUACCACAAUUUGAAUAUUUAUAUUUUUUUUUAUUGUUUUCUUAUUAAUUUUCUUCUAAUAACAAGAUAAGACAAUAAAAUGUUUAUGAGAAAAAAGAAGAAAGUUAAUAUAGAGGCAAUAAGAU
This 702-nucleotide ribosomal RNA is filed under the name Melanohalea exasperata. RNAcentral's name for it is "SSU rRNA". It matches the Rfam family "Bacterial small subunit ribosomal RNA", at positions 376 to 1060 of the family's 1533-position model. The record is from RNAcentral. Lineage: Eukaryota; Fungi; Ascomycota; Lecanoromycetes; Lecanorales; Parmeliaceae.